RNAcentral lists this long non-coding RNA (752 nucleotides) under Lynx pardinus (Iberian lynx). Lineage: Eukaryota; Metazoa; Chordata; Mammalia; Carnivora; Felidae. The record is from RNAcentral.
GGAAAGAACUGUAGUCAGGAGGAGUGGAGACCUGGCACCUCCAUUAGCACCCUCCCCCACCCCUCUGUCACUAGAAAACCAAGGAUUCUGGGUCAGGCCCACUCCUGCCCUCGCCUGCCCUGGGUCUCCCUGUCACACCGCCAGCCUCCACCAAGGCCAGGCCCUCGGAGACCAGCCGGGAGCACCGCCAGGCCGUCGUCAGCUAUGUCAGAGUCUGUGGCCCCAAGCAGAGGGCAACCACCAUAGGGAUGUCCUCGCUCAGAAUCUGGCCCACUCUCCCGGUAAGCAGCCAGUAAGUCCUUCCAGCUGUCUAACUUCCUUUCCUCUUGCUUCAAGCCCAGUCUCUGGUUCUGAGGAAAUGGAGUGACUCUCCCCCGUCGUGCUCCAUGGAGCCUUUCGUGGCCAACAGGUGCUGCUGUGGGUCUGGAUCAAGAAUUCACUUCCCUGGAAACUGCUGAGGUUUCUGAGGGAUACAGGGAGGGGCAAGGCGGAGAAGCGGCAGGGGGUUUCUGUGUUCAGGGCUUCAGGGACCUGGGAAAUGGUAAACCACAUGUGAUGUCCAUUUCCUGCCCUCUAACCUGGCCGGGCAGCAAGGAGGUUCCAGUCUCUUCCAACACAAACCUGCACCUUCCCCACCCCACCUCCUCUGCUCAGCUCUGGCUCACAGGGAUGUCAGCGGGGAGGGGGGGGGGGGGGAUACACACAGUAGGGCCUUGAAGGGUGUACACAGUUUGAAUAAAUGAUCCUACAGG